GACCACUCACCAACCCACCAAGGAAUUAAAGUUUGGGACAAAACAAAAAUAUCAUCUCUCCAUUGAAGCGAUUUUUCUUCUUAUAAUUUUGGUUGAAGAUCCAUAUGCAUAGGAACUCGAAGCAAGAACAAGAUGCUAAUCCUGGUGAUAGGAAUCGCGACAAUCGUACUACUUCUUUCCAUACUAUGUAUUAUAUGGACCGUACGACAAUGUAUAAAAGGUGAAGAAAGGGAUGAAAGUAGGCGUGAGAAAGAUGAAGAACGAAGCUUAGUGGAUGAGGAUGAGGAGUCAAGUGCUCAAAAGACUGAGCCCUCCUCCUUCGGAUUCAGACCACAAGCUCUCGCAUGGAGUGUUGGCGAUACCAUUACCGAUGAUAAGAACAGAAAAUCUGCAAAGAAGGAGAAACUCCGAUGUGGGUACAUCGUAUCAAGGCCUUUCAGCAUGCAAGACUCGCCGGUAUCCGACAGUGAUUCCGAAUCCCAAGGGCCGUGAUUUUUUAUUUUAUUUAUUCAAUUUAUUUGGUUUCUAAUCUGGCAAGUGAUGUAGAUGUCGAACUUCUACUAAGAACAAUGUUAUGUUUUGAGUCUUAUUCUC
Tarenaya hassleriana is the source of this 594-nucleotide long non-coding RNA. RefSeq lists it as uncharacterized. NCBI's taxonomy places the organism in Eukaryota, Viridiplantae, Streptophyta, Magnoliopsida, Brassicales, Cleomaceae. The record is from RefSeq and is a predicted model, not a curated record. The transcript is spliced from 2 exons.